UACGUAGGGUGCAAGCGUUAAUCGGGAUUACUGGGCGUAAAGCGUGCGCAGGUCGGUUGUGCAAGACAGAUGUGAAAAUCCCCGGGCUCAACCUGGGAACUGCAUUUGUGACUGCACGGCUAGAGUACGGUAGAGGGGAUGGAAUUCCGCGUGUAGCAGUGAAAUGCGUAGAUAUGUGGAGGAACACCGAUGGCGAAGGCAGCCCCCUGGGUCGACACUGACGCUCAUGCACG
Molecule: ribosomal RNA, 233 nt
Filed under: uncultured bacterium
Lineage: Bacteria
Description: partial 16S ribosomal RNA
Rfam family: Bacterial small subunit ribosomal RNA
Source: RNAcentral